CUGCUGCCUUCCGUAGGAGUUUGGGCCGUGUCUCAGUCCCAAUGUGGCCGUUCACCCUCUCAGGCCGGCUACUGAUCGUCGCUUUGGUGGGCCGUUACCCCGCCAACUGGCUAAUCAGACGCGGAUCCAUCGUAUACCACCGGAGUUUUUCACACUGUUCCAUGCGGAACCGUGCGCUUAUGCGGUAUUAGCACCUAUUUCUAAGUGUUAUCCCCCUGUAUACGGCAGGUUAUCCACGCGUUACUCACCCGUCCGCCACUAACCCA
RNAcentral lists this ribosomal RNA (266 nucleotides) under uncultured bacterium. RNAcentral's name for it is "partial 16S ribosomal RNA". The record is from RNAcentral.